RNAcentral lists this ribosomal RNA (438 nucleotides) under uncultured bacterium. Its description in RNAcentral is "bacterial SSU rRNA". It matches the Rfam family "Bacterial small subunit ribosomal RNA", at positions 954 to 1392 of the family's 1533-position model. The record is from RNAcentral.
GCUAAACGCGAAGAACCUUACCUGGGUUUGACAUGCACAGGACGCACCUAGAGAUAGGUGUUCCCUUGUGGCCUGUGUGCAGGUGGUGCAUGGCUGUCGUCAGCUCGCGUCGUGAGAUGUUGGGUUAAGUCCCGCAACGAGCGCAACCCUUGUCCUAUGUUGCCAGCGGGUGAUGCCGGGGACUCGUAGGAGACUGCCGGGGUCAACUCGGAGGAAGGUGGGGAUGACGUCAAGUCAUCAUGCCCCUUAUGUCCAGGGCUUCACACAUGCUACAAUGGCCGGUACAAUGGGCUGCGAUACCGUGAGGUGGAGCGAAUCCCAAAAAGCCGGUCUCAGUUCGGAUCGGGGUCUGCAACUCGACCCCGUGAAGUCGGAGCCGCUAGUAAUCGCAGAUCAGCAACGCUGCGGUGAAUACGUUCCCGGGUCUUGUACACACCG